AGCUGACGAGUCCCAAAUAGGACGAAACGCGCGUCCU
Molecule: non-coding RNA, 37 nt
Organism: Schistosoma rodhaini
Lineage: Eukaryota; Metazoa; Platyhelminthes; Trematoda; Strigeidida; Schistosomatidae
Source: Rfam